Molecule: ribosomal RNA, 681 nt
Filed under: uncultured bacterium
Lineage: Bacteria
Description: bacterial SSU rRNA
Rfam family: Bacterial small subunit ribosomal RNA
Source: RNAcentral
ACUGGCGGACGGGUGAGUAACGCGUAGGUAAUCUGCCCCUUUCACUGACAAAACGUUGAGAAAUCGGCGCUAAUAUCAGAUAUGCACUUCGGUUUGAAAGACUUCGGUUGGGAAGGGAUGAGCCUGCGUCUGAUUAGCUAGUUGGCGGAGUAAAAGCCCACCAAGGCGACGAUCAGUAGCUGGUCUGAGAGGAUGGUCAGCCACACUGGAACUGAGACACGGUCCAGACUCCUACGGGAGGCAGCAGUGAGGAAUCUUGGUCAAUGGGGGAAACCCUGAACCAGCGACGCCGCGUGUAGGAUGACGGGGCUUUGCCCUGUAAACUACUGUCAGGAGGGAAGAAAAGCGUCCACAGGGCGCCGGGACAGUACCUCCAGAGGAAGGACCGGCUAACUACGUGCCAGCAGCCGCGGUAAUACGUAGGGUCCAAGCGUUGUCCGGAAUUACUGGGUGUAAAGGGUGUGCAGGCGGGCCUGUGCGUCAGGGGUUAAAUACUUCGGCUUAACCGAAGAACAGCCCUUGAUACGGCAGGUCUUGAGUACGAGAGAGGAUAGUAGAAUUCCUGGUGUAGCGGUGAAAUGCGUAGAUAUCAGGAGGAAUACCAGUGGCGAAGGCGGCUAUCUGGCUCGUUACUGACGCUCAGGCACGAAAGCGUGGGGAGCAAACAGGAUUAGAUACCCU